Molecule: ribosomal RNA, 497 nt
Filed under: uncultured bacterium
Lineage: Bacteria
Description: partial 16S ribosomal RNA
Rfam family: Bacterial small subunit ribosomal RNA
Source: RNAcentral
GAUGAACGCUGGCGGCGUGCCUAAUACAUGCAAGUCGAGCGAACAGACGAGGCUCUUGCUCCUCUCUCGUUUGCGGCGGACGGGUGAGUAACACGUGGAUCACCUACCUAUAAGACUGGGAUAACUUCGGGAAACCGGCUCUAAUACCGGAUAAUCUAUUGAACCGCAUGGUUCAUUAGUGAAAGUCGGUUUUGCUGUCACUUCUAGCUGGAUCCGCGCCGCAUUAGCUAGUUGGUAAGGUAACGGCUUAGCAAGGCAAGGAUGCGUAGCCGACCUGACAGAGUGGUAGGCCACACUGGAACGGAGACGCGGUCCAGACUCCUACGGGAGGCAGCAGUAGGGUAUCGGCCGCAAUAGGCGGAAGCCUGACGGAGCAAGGCCGCGAGAGUGAUAGAGGUGUUCGGAGCGUAAAACUCUGCUAUUAGGGAAGAACAAAUGUGUAAGUAACUAAGCACGGCUUGACGGUACUUAAUAAAGAAGCCACGGCUAACUACGUG